RNAcentral lists this ribosomal RNA (303 nucleotides) under Triticum aestivum (bread wheat). RNAcentral describes it as "partial small subunit ribosomal RNA". Lineage: Eukaryota; Viridiplantae; Streptophyta; Magnoliopsida; Poales; Poaceae. The record is from RNAcentral.
AUGUACACGUCGUGUACCUCGGCAACCUUCAAGCGGAAGCCUGGCGAGGGAGUCGGCCACGACCUGACUAACCACACAAGUCUCUCGUCCAGGUUUAUCGCCUAUUCGGGUUCCAUCCGCAAGGAGAUCCGGCCGGGGUGUCGCUCACGGCCCCAAACGAUGUGUGCAGGGUUCCCAAGCCCACCUCGACGGAUGGAUCUACGCUUGGUACACCAUGCCACGGUGCCUAGUCUGUCCCAAGCCCACCUGUAUCGGGUACCACUUGGUAGACUACUAACACAACCUACAAACACCAGAAACUAG